GACCCGGGCAACAUCGUCAAACUGCGGGAAAGCCCUGCCACGACUCUCGGGACCUCACCGCCCCAGCAAUGGAAGCGGGUGCCUACGGCCAACGGCCGCGGGUACGGUAAAGCACCGAAGUCUAGGGGCGAUCCGCCGCCAAACCCUCCCCGCACCGGGAGGGCCCAGCUCACAGGCCAGACGGCGAUGGGCGCUCUCGCGCUUAAGAUAUGGUCGAGUGACUCGCCGAGAGGCGGGUGCAACUCAGGAACGUCCGUAGGUGAACCUGCGGAAGGAUCAUU
RNAcentral lists this ribosomal RNA (281 nucleotides) under Thyrinula eucalyptina. RNAcentral's name for it is "partial 18S ribosomal RNA". Lineage: Eukaryota; Fungi; Ascomycota; Dothideomycetes; Asterinales; Asterinaceae. The record is from RNAcentral.